Molecule: non-coding RNA, 114 nt
Filed under: Leminorella grimontii
Lineage: Bacteria; Pseudomonadati; Pseudomonadota; Gammaproteobacteria; Enterobacterales; Budviciaceae
Description: TPP sequence
Rfam family: TPP riboswitch aptamer (THI element)
About the family: Vitamin B(1) in its active form thiamin pyrophosphate (TPP) is an essential coenzyme that is synthesised by coupling of pyrimidine and thiazole moieties in bacteria. The previously detected thiamin-regulatory element, thi box was extended, resulting in a new, highly conserved RNA secondary structure, the THI element, which is widely distributed in eubacteria and also occurs in some archaea.
Source: RNAcentral
CUAAUCUUGUCGGAGUGCCCAGCGACCUUUAUGGUGCGGGCUGAGACCGUUAAUUCGGGAUCCGCGGAACCUGAUCGGGCUAAUACCCGCGAAGGGAACAAGAGUAAUUCAAUU